UGGUAGGUGAAUUUUUCACCUUCUUUUGAUAGAAAAUGGAGUCCUAAAAUCUCUCAAAAUGUGUCCAACCUGCAUCUUGAAUUUUUGGCCAUCGGAUCUGCUUUGAACGCAUGAGAUCACAUCAAAAAUCCUCUUCAUCAGGCCUUUUUAUAGUUAGAUUUGAUACCAGCCAUUGGAUCUUGUGACGGAUUGAAUUUGGACCGUCGAUCAGCACACC
This 217-nucleotide long non-coding RNA is filed under the name Elaeis guineensis (African oil palm). Its description in RNAcentral is "long non-coding RNA (EGUI_LNC007621)". The record is from RNAcentral. Lineage: Eukaryota; Viridiplantae; Streptophyta; Magnoliopsida; Arecales; Arecaceae.